UACGGAGGAUGCAAGCGUUAUCCGGAUUCAUUGGGUUUAAAGGGUGCGCAGGCGGGAUGUUAAGUCGGCGGUGAAAUUUUGCAGCUCAACUGUAAGAGUGCCUUCGAUACUGGCUUUCUUGAGUGUGGAUGAAGUAGGCGGAAUUUGUGGUGUAGCGGUGAAAUGCUUAGAUAUCACGAGGAACUCCGAUUGCGCAGGCAGCUUACUAAACCACUACUGACGCUCAUGCACGAAGGCGUGGGGAUCAAACAGGA
This 254-nucleotide ribosomal RNA is filed under the name uncultured prokaryote. Its description in RNAcentral is "partial 16S ribosomal RNA". It matches the Rfam family "Bacterial small subunit ribosomal RNA", at positions 524 to 777 of the family's 1533-position model. The record is from RNAcentral.